Non-coding RNA from Lupinus albus (white lupine), 445 nucleotides. The record is from the annotation of a GenBank genome assembly. NCBI's taxonomy places the organism in Eukaryota, Viridiplantae, Streptophyta, Magnoliopsida, Fabales, Fabaceae.
AUACUUACCUGGAUGGGGUCAAUGGGUGAUCAAGAAGGCCCAUGGCCUAGGGAAGUGACCUCCAUUGCACUUAGGAGGGGUGCUUUCCUAAGGUCUACCCAAGUGGUGGAGCCUACAUCAUAAUUUGUGGCAGUGGGGACCUGCGUUCGCGCGGCCCCUUUCAAUUUUAGUCCAAGGUUAUAUUUUAUUGUGGCCCAUUGCUUUUGUUGUACCAUAAUGACACCCUUUUUACAUUUUGAAAGUUCAUUUGGCUGUUCUCUGCUCAAUAUUAUUGGUAAUUGGAUUUGGUUAGAUCUAUAAAUUUUUGAAUAAAUUGAAGUAUUUCUCCCCAUCUUUUUCAAUCCUCUAAAUUGUAUUUGCUUAGAUAUUCCCAGAUUUUUUUAAUCUUUAUCUUCAACCUUAUAUUUUAGGCAUACAUUAAAAUUUGAGUCUAUAACGAAGUAAU